GAUGAACGCUGGCGGCGUGCCUAAUACAUGCAAGUCGAGCGAACGGACGAGAAGCUUGCUUCUCUGAUGUUAGCGGCGGACGGGUGAGUAACACGUGGAUAACCUACCUAUAAGACUGGGAUAACUUCGGGAAACCGGAGCUAAUACCGGAUGAUAUUUUGAACCGCAUGGUUCAAAAGUGAAAGACGGUCUUGCUGUCACUUAUAGAUGGAUCCGCGCUGCAUUAGCUAGUUGGUAAGGUAACGGCUUACCAAGGCAACGAUGCAUAGCCGACCUGAGAGGGGGAUAGGCCACACUGGAACUGAGACACGGUCCAGACUCCUACGGGAGGCAGCAGUAGGGAAUCUUCCGCAAUGGGCGAAAGCCUGACGGAGCAACGCCGCGUGAGUGAUGAAGGUCUUCGGAUCGUAAAACUCUGUUAUUAGGGAAGAACAUAUGUGUAAGUAACUGUGCACAUCGUGACGGUACCUAAUCAGAAAGCCACGGCUAACUACGUG
Molecule: ribosomal RNA, 497 nt
Filed under: uncultured bacterium
Lineage: Bacteria
Description: partial 16S ribosomal RNA
Rfam family: Bacterial small subunit ribosomal RNA
Source: RNAcentral